AAGUCGUAACAAGGUUUCCGUAGGUGAACCUGCGGAAGGAUCAUUAACGAAUAACUAUGGUGUCUUGGUUGUAGCUGGCUCCUCGGAGCAAUGUGCACGCCCGCCAUUUUUAUCUUUCCACCUGUGCACCGACUGUAGGUCUGGAUGGCUCUCGCACUCCGGUGCGGAUGCGAGGAUUGCUCUCGGGCUCUCCUCGAAUUUCCAGGCUCUACGUCUUUUUACACACCCCAAACGUAUGAUACAGAAUGUAGUCAAUGGGCUUGAUCGCCUAUAAAACACUAUACAACUUUCAGCAACGGAUCUCUUGGCUCUC
Molecule: unclassified non-coding RNA, 313 nt
Filed under: Coprinellus micaceus
Lineage: Eukaryota; Fungi; Basidiomycota; Agaricomycetes; Agaricales; Psathyrellaceae
Description: partial internal transcribed spacer region
Rfam family: Eukaryotic small subunit ribosomal RNA (bases 1-46)
Source: RNAcentral